GAUGAAGAACGUAGCGAAAUGCGAUAAGUAGUGUGAAUUGCAGAAUUCAGUGAAUCAUCGAAUCUUUGAACGCACAUUGCGCCCCUUGGUAUUCCGAGGGGCAUGCCUGUUCUAGCGUCAUUAUAACCCUCAAGCUCAGCUUGGUGUUGGGGCCUGCUGCAGUGGCAGCCCUUAAAAUCAGUGGCGGCGCCAUCUGGCUCUAAGCGUAGUAAUUCUUCUCGCUAUGGAGUCCUGGUGGAUGCUUGCCAUCAACCCCCAAUUUUUCUAUGGUUGACCUCGGAUCAGGUAGGGAUACCCGCUGAACUUAAGCAUAUCAAUAAGCGGAGGA
Molecule: unclassified non-coding RNA, 328 nt
Filed under: soil metagenome
Description: partial contains 5.8S ribosomal RNA, internal transcribed spacer 2, and large subunit ribosomal RNA
Rfam family: 5.8S ribosomal RNA (bases 1-120)
Source: RNAcentral